GGCUUAGUACCCGGAAGGGAUUUAUCCUGAAGGGGAAGCUAAGUACCCAAAACACUGCAUUGCCACAAGUCGAUAUCAAUAAUUAAUCAAAUAAUUUAUAUAUAUAUGGCAAGCACAUUCGAUGCAUCAAAUAUUCGGUGCAUCCGUUUAUCAUCGUGCCACGGAUGAUGCGUCACGUCUUAAUUUGGGAGUGCCGCACAAAGUAUCGCGCGUCCGUUUGUUAUCUUGCCACAAAUAUUUCGUCGCGUUCUAAUUAGUUCGAGUGUGCUAUGUAAAGUGUCACUGUUCAAAUACGGGAGUGCCGUGCAAAGUAUCGCACGUCCAUUCUUAUUGUGUCGUAUAAUGAACAAUAAUAAAUUGUAAGAAACUAUACUUUCGCGAGUGAAUGCAAAGAAUCCUGACAACUUGAGAGAAGGAAAAGGCCUAGGAGGCAUCAGGCGACGGCGGAACAACUUUAAGAUCAAUGUAGCUUCAAUGCCGUCAACUCCGCUGUUGCGCAUCGAUUAGUAAAUGAUAAAAAAAAGCUUUUAACGUCAAGUAUAUACAAUUCAAUAUUUGCGCAACAAAAAAACUGUGUCAAACCUAUGUUUUUUCAAUUAAACAUACUAAAAAAUCCCACAUUUUAAACUACAGCUAUUAAAACCUAUUUUUUUUUUUUCAAGAAUUUUUCUCGGGAUAUUUAAAAAAUGUAAUUUUAUAUAUUAUGUUAAAGCCAUAUAUUAUAAAGACAUAAGUAUAGUAUAAUAGUGAUAAAUUCAGCUGUGUGUGUAUGCUUCUUUUCUUGUCAAUAGCUACACAAUCUCGAAAAAAAUGUUUAUUCUAAAAAAUGCCUACUUUUAUAGUAGUGCAGCAUUAACGAAGACAUUAUUGUGUAGUACAUGGCACAAUUUACGGAACUUUUAUCGCGGACGAAAAGAACGUGUAAAUGUAGACUUUUAUACACCAUCCAUAACUUGAAACUUAGCACUCGUAAGCUUAGCUAUCUCCACUUCUCUCAAAGUAGCACGGUUCAUCUAUCCGCAGGCGCGAGAGAGAGAAAGAGAGAGACAGAGAGAGAGAGAGAGAGAGAGAGAGAAAGAGAGAAUGAGUGAGUGAGCACUCCAAAGACCUAGCUAAUCGCGUGCUUUUAUAUCUCUUGACCAAAAGAGUUCGUCCUUUUACGAGACGCGCAGAAGUAACGUUUAAGUCGCCUCGACGACCAGCGCUCACUCGUCACACACUUUUUUUACGACACAAUCUCAGACCAAUGAGGUAGACCAGUGACGAUAGAAUUUUCCAAGGUACUCUCAAGAGAGAGUACGUUUAUAGAUAACAAAAGUUAAUAGAAAUUUUUCAAAUUUAAUUACAUAGAUAUGUCUAAAAUUGAAUAUUAAAAUAUCACGAAAACAUAUAUACGAGGGUCAAAAUCAAUUUUUAUUAUAGAAAAAUUAUCAUAUACAGAGUGAGCCACGCAAUUGAGAUGGGUUCUAGCAUCUGUCCCGUAGAACAUAGAAAGAAAUGGUGGAGGCAAAAGUUGAAUAAUAUAACAAUGCCUAUUUUUCUAUUGACUCAUUUUUUCGUAAAUGCAACGAUACAUCAAAAAAGUGCAAUUGUAUUUUUUUUUUUUUGUAAUAGCAUUAUAAAUUUUUUUUUCACAUAAAUAGAUUCUUCUAAACAGUCUGUGUAUAAAAUUAUUAGAGUAAGAUGUUCGGAAAAGAAAUAUUUUACAAGAUAUUUGAAGUUUCUAAAUGAGGCAUAUGCUUUACUUAAGAAGGUGUUUAAACGUAUCACCGUUACGUAACAAAUAUUUUGUGAUCCAUUUCUUUAUGUUUUUUUAAUAUAUUAAUCGAGCAAUGCAACAAUAAAAUAUUGUAAUUUUGACAAAACCAAAACAGCAAGUUCUAUAGCGUUUGAAAUAAUCUAUUAAAUGAAAAAUAAUUUAUUACGCGUCGCUCAAAUUCCUCGGACGUUGUAUAUUGCGAUUCUUUACGAAGAUACUUUUACACUGCUGAAUAAUUUCUCAGUAUCUAAUGAACAACUUCGAAACUGCGAGAUGCAAUCGGUUUUUCCGGAUAGACAUGCAUUUCCGAGCGGAAAAAUCGCGAUUUGUUAUACCGCCUUUUAUUUCUCUUUUUGCUAAUAUUUUUAUAUCUCGCCGUUUCAAUUACUGCAGAUCUUUCAAAUUGUUUUUCUAUUGUUUAUCUUAAUCUAGAAUAGAAUUUUUAAGGAUACGUUCAAAUCGAUGAUCUUACUGUUAUCUCCGCUAUCGAGUUUAUUUUUCCUUCUGACUACGACAUAUUUGAUUUCUAUUGGUUUGCGUUUAAUCUCGUAAGAGUUAUGAAACUCGACGAACAUCGCCACAAUCCUCGUAACCUGCGAACAAGGCAAUCGAUGUCGAUCCGAUUAAGUCGAAUAAACCGCUUUUGUGAUGUACUUUGGUUUUAGAGCGAUUAGUUAAAAAGUUUAAAUAUUCUCUUUAGGUUAUCUAAUAGAAAUUAUGAAGGAUUAAUAAUAUUUAUGUCAGCGUUUUUGUCUAUAAUCAUUAAAACUUUCUCUUGUUUAAAUCUUAAAAAAAAAUAAAGAAAUAAUUACAAACUA
Molecule: long non-coding RNA, 2577 nt
Organism: Formica exsecta
Lineage: Eukaryota; Metazoa; Arthropoda; Insecta; Hymenoptera; Formicidae
Exons: 2
Source: RefSeq, a predicted model, not a curated record